GUCCGCCAUGUACGGCCAUGGCGUAUUGAAGAGAGCGAGUGAGCGAGGCGCGGAGCGGCACAGCCUCCCACCCUCCCGGCUGGUGUCAGGGCCCGGACGGCGGGCUUUGCGCUCCGCCCCCAAGUCCCCGGCAGCGGCAGGCGAGUGGAGACCGAAACUCCGGUUCUCCAUGAUCCCGCUGGCCGGGGCCGUUUCCCCAGAGCGGAGAGGUAUCUGCUGCGCCUGAGAUGAGUAAACUGUCGUUUCGGGCGCGGGCGCUGGACGCCUCGAAGCCGCUGCCGGUCUUCCGCUGUGAGGAUCUGCCCGACCUGCACGAAUACGCCUCGAUAAACCGGGCCGUGCCGCAGAUGCCCACCGGAAUGGAGAAGGAAGAGGAGUCGGUACGUGUUAACUCCCCUGUCCGACCCGCCGCCAGGCCCGCGCCCUCCGCUGCCCGCGGCGGCGGCGGAGCAGCAGACCCACACAAAAUGGCCGCCAUCUUCUCUCCGCCGCCGACUCUCGGUCGCCGGCCGGGCCGGUCCCCCGCCUCCCCGGGUGCUCGGUCCCGGGCCGCUGAGGCCCGGCGGAGCACCCUCGAAGGCCUCCCGCCGUCCUCGGCCACUGGUACCCGGGUCCCGCGGAGUUCGGGGGCCCGAAAGGCACAAAGGGGUCACGUGACGAAGCCGCCGGCAGCCAUUUUGUGGUCUCAGUUCUUGGGUUGGGCCUUGUGCAUAUCCGGAGAGGGAAGCGGGCUGGGCGGCGGUGGGGGUGCAGCGAGCCGGGAGUGGGCCGCGCCUGCGGGCCCCUCGCAGGGCCGCUAGGUGGCGCUCUGGGGCCGUCGGGGCCUGGCAAAGGCUGCGGGCGCCGGCUCUGAGCGCACUUGCCAGAGGGCUCGGUGCAGUCCCCACGUGGAGCCUCCGAGGGGGCCUGUCAUGCUGACUUCAGGGCUCAGGCUGAUUUCUCUCCCCUUCCUAAAGUGAAGUGGCGAAGGUGCUCCGGGUCUGCCCAGACACCAUUAAAUUUAUUGAAGAUGAAACUCCCGGUACAGUCUUGCUUCCACCCGCAGUGCUGGCGGGAAGAAAAAAAAAAAAAAACCUGUCUCCUACUUUUUGAUCUUUGAGACAGUGUUGCAGAUUUGUUUACAGUACGUAACUCUGUUCUAAAGUCUGCAACUUUUUAGUUCUUUGUAAAUUAAAUUUAGGUUCGCCUGUUUUUAGAGGAAAAGAUAGAGAAUAAACGUUUCAAUGAAAGUUAAAGCUCUAAGGUCCUUUUGUAUCAAUAGCGUAGCUAAAGUUGAGUGAAUUCUUCACAGACAUCCUGACAUUAAGCUAUCCAAACUGGGUGGGCUGCAGUAGUUACAUUACUGUUUCUACAGCUAAUAGGUGUUUACUAUUGCUGUGGCCUUUACUUUGCUGUAGGAGGUGGGUCGGAACACAGAGAUAAUAGACUCUUCUGCACAUUUCCCCCAGAUGUUAACAUUAUAACUUGGAUGACUUCUAAUUCUAAGGACUUGCGUACAUUGGUUUCCAGGUACAGCCACUUAUACAGGUGCACUGUGUUGACAGUUGAAGGAAGUCGGGGAUUCCCGUGGACUGUGUGCUCCAAUUUUGUUGUGGAAAUUGUACUGUAAUACUUCUGCUGGUCCUGUAAGAAUUUCUAUUCUCUGUAAUGUUUUUCAAAAUAAAACUCUUUAAACUGCUUGGGUUAUUUAACCUUUUAAAGUAAAAUAGUUUUGACAGUCAAAUGUUACUUUGGGGUGGAGGGUCUGGAGUCUCACUUCACAGCUGAGUGCUAAGUGUAGAUGAGAUGUGUGGGGUAGUGUACUGACUUCUAGCAGCUUACUGUCUGUGAGAGCAGUGCUCUUUAUGUUGACUUGUAUCAACUUAGAGUAGAAUGGUGACAUUUUUAAAAUAAGUGAUUUGUUUUUUUUUAAUUAAAGUACUUGUGAUUGC
Molecule: long non-coding RNA, 1931 nt
Filed under: Rattus norvegicus (Norway rat)
Lineage: Eukaryota; Metazoa; Chordata; Mammalia; Rodentia; Muridae
Description: long non-coding RNA NONRATT013013
Rfam family: mir-1893 microRNA precursor family (bases 197-279)
Source: RNAcentral